UGGGUUUAUGCAGGAUUAUGAUACAUUUGC
This 30-nucleotide non-coding RNA is filed under the name Rattus norvegicus (Norway rat). Lineage: Eukaryota; Metazoa; Chordata; Mammalia; Rodentia; Muridae. The record is from RNAcentral.